Ailuropoda melanoleuca (giant panda) is the source of this 107-nucleotide small nuclear RNA. Lineage: Eukaryota; Metazoa; Chordata; Mammalia; Carnivora; Ursidae. The record is from Ensembl.
GUGCUCCCUUCAGCAGCACAUAUACUAAAAUUGGAACGAUACAGAGAAGAUUAGCAUGGCUCCUGAGCAAGAAUGACACACAAAUUUGUGAAGCAUUCCAUAUUUUU